UAUAGUGUUUUAUGGCACUUUUUAAAUCCAUAUCCACCUUGUGUGCAAUGUCAGUCGAUCUUCUUCAUGGAGAUCGACCAAACAUCAACCUUUAUCUUUUAACUCUUGUCUGAAAAUAUUAUGAACUAAGCAAUUCAAAAUA
Molecule: unclassified non-coding RNA, 142 nt
Filed under: soil metagenome
Description: partial internal transcribed spacer 1
Source: RNAcentral